Molecule: ribosomal RNA, 704 nt
Filed under: Antigona lamellaris
Lineage: Eukaryota; Metazoa; Mollusca; Bivalvia; Venerida; Veneridae
Description: 12S ribosomal RNA
Source: RNAcentral
AUGAUGCUUUGACCGGACGUUAUUUGGAUGGUUAAAUAGUAAAUUAAAAGCAGAGAAAAAUAAAGUGCCAGCAUUCGCGGUCAGACUUUAUGUGCGAGUCAAUGAGUUUGUAAAUAAGUUAAGCGAAAAUUUAAUUUAGAAACCAUUUAAUGUGUUAGGUGAAAUUUACAUUAAUUAGGGAAAUAGAAUUGUUUUAAUGCUAAACCUGAUAAGGCUGAUGUAGAGACGGGGAUUAGAGACCCCCUUAUUUAUGCUUUCCUUAAUUAUACGGGGAGUACGAGCAGGAGUGCUUAAAAACCAAUCAAGUUGGCGGUGUUUCAUAUCCGGUUAGGGGAACUUGACGGUUAAAUCGAUGAUCCUCGAAAAUCUUACACCUAGUAUUCUUUGCAUACCGCCGUUGUUAGUUCUCCUUAGAUAGAAAAGUUUUUUGCUUAAGAUACGGGUAAUAUAUUAUUUACUUAGCUAUAGUAAUUCAGGUAAACGUGUAGGUUCUAGGUGGCUUAGUUGAGUUACAAUUUUUUAUAAAUACGGAAUCUUUAUGAAAAAUAAGAGUGAAGGUGUACUUGUUAGUAAAAUUUUAAUAGAGGAAAUUUGAAUGAGGUUGUGAAAUGCGUACAAAUCGCCCGGCGCCCCCGGAUAAAGGAAACGGAAACUGGGGUAAGUCGUAACAUAGUAAUGCUAACAGAAGUUGGUGUUAAACUUGA